GUGAGGAAUAUUGCACAAUGGAGGAAACUCUGAUGCAGCAACGCCGCGUGGAGGACGACGCAUUUCGGUGUGUAAACUCCUUUUAUUAGGGAAGAUUAUGACGGUACCUAAUGAAUAAGCACCGGCUAACUCCGUGCCAGCAGCCGCGGUAAUACGGAGGGUGCAAGCGUUACUCGGAAUCACUGGGCGUAAAGGGUGCGUAGGUUGACUUUUAAGGCAAGUGUGAAAUCCUAUGGCUUAAACAUAGAACUGCGCUUGAAACUGGGAGUCUAGAGUUCAGAAGGGGCAGAUGGAAUUAGUGGUGUAGGGGUAAAAUCCGUAGAUAUCACUAGGAAUAUCAAAAGCGAAGGCGAUCUGCUGGGAUGAUACUGACGCUGAGGCACGAAAGCGUGGGGAGCAAACAGGAUUAGAUACCCGGGUAGUCC
This 425-nucleotide ribosomal RNA is filed under the name uncultured bacterium. RNAcentral's name for it is "bacterial SSU rRNA". It matches the Rfam family "Bacterial small subunit ribosomal RNA", at positions 354 to 796 of the family's 1533-position model. The record is from RNAcentral.